Molecule: transfer RNA, 72 nt
Filed under: Camelus bactrianus (Bactrian camel)
Lineage: Eukaryota; Metazoa; Chordata; Mammalia; Artiodactyla; Camelidae
Also listed under: 2 other names
Rfam family: tRNA
About the family: Transfer RNA (tRNA) molecules are approximately 80 nucleotides in length. Their secondary structure includes four short double-helical elements and three loops (D, anti-codon, and T loops). Further hydrogen bonds mediate the characteristic L-shaped molecular structure. tRNAs have two regions of fundamental functional importance: the anti-codon, which is responsible for specific mRNA codon recognition, and the 3' end, to which the tRNAs corresponding amino acid is attached (by aminoacyl-tRNA synthetases). tRNAs cope with the degeneracy of the genetic code in two manners: having more than one tRNA (with a specific anti-codon) for a particular amino acid; and 'wobble' base-pairing, i.e. permitting non-standard base-pairing at the 3rd anti-codon position.
Source: Rfam by way of RNAcentral
GAGGGUAUAGCUCAGGGGUAGAGCACAUGCUUAGCACACAUGAGGUCCUUGGUUCAACCCUCAGUCCCUCCA